CGGGAUGUGGCUCAGCUUGGUAGAGCGCUCGGUUCGGGACCGAGAGGUCGUGGGUUCGAAUCCCGCCAUCCCGACCA
RNAcentral lists this transfer RNA (77 nucleotides) under Actinomycetes bacterium. Its description in RNAcentral is "Actinobacteria bacterium tRNA-Pro". It matches the Rfam family "tRNA". Rfam says of the family: Transfer RNA (tRNA) molecules are approximately 80 nucleotides in length. Their secondary structure includes four short double-helical elements and three loops (D, anti-codon, and T loops). The record is from RNAcentral. Lineage: Bacteria; Bacillati; Actinomycetota; Actinomycetes. RNAcentral also lists the same sequence under 4 other names.